AUCACUCCACUGUAAUAAUGUUGCUCUGCCAGCCCAAUACACAAGAGGGGGACUAUAUAAGAAUCAAUGGAGCUGUCACUACCACGAACUACCCCGCGAUCUGGCAUAUAGGGUACAAUCGCAGAUAAAUACGGUAUAAGCACCACGCCUACACAAUAUCUAUUGUUUACCCAUGGAUCCGAUGGAUAAACGCUAUAUGAUUCUAAACAUGUAUAUAGAUCCAAUCUAACUAAGCCAAGUAUAUAACUAUGAUAAACUAAGAACAAUAUAAUUGCGAAUAUAAACAAGUCGAGCAAAGUCAUAAUCAAUAUAUUGAAGUAGAACAAAGUCAUAUUCAUAAUAUCGAAG
RNAcentral lists this long non-coding RNA (348 nucleotides) under Sorghum bicolor (sorghum). RNAcentral describes it as "long non-coding RNA (SBIC_LNC006815)". Lineage: Eukaryota; Viridiplantae; Streptophyta; Magnoliopsida; Poales; Poaceae. The record is from RNAcentral.